UGGGGUUCGUAAAGUUCUUCAGGCCAAGAGAAACCCGAAGCAGGCGAGCAGGAGAAACCUCAAGUGAGUGGCUUCUGCAGCGGUCCCUUUCAAUUCUGAGAUUCUGGGAUAAGCCGCAGGGUGGGAUUGGAGGCCAGGCCCCAGCUCCAAACCCUGUGCUUCUUGCUCUAAACUGCCAUGGACUACAAAGCCUUUGGAUGGUGAGGGAGGGGCUAGGGAAUGUGGCUCUACCGUUUUUCCAGGGUUCUGGCCUCAGACUCUAAAAGUUAAGAUUCCCAACCUGUGUUACUAGACCCCCUUUAGCAGUGGGGAAGCCUGUGAACCCAUUCUCAUAGUCAUGUUUUAAAAUGCAUGAAGUAAAAUCUGUAGGAGGACGAAGGAAAUCAACUGUAUGGAAAGAAUUAUCAAAAUAUUUCUAAAAACCAAAUUCAUAACCCCCCUGAAAUCCGAGCACAGACUUCAUGUAAACCCGGCUCUAAAGGCUGGCUGGGAAAGACGUCUCCAGGUGGUGCGACAGGCACGGUUCCGCUGGCGAUGGUCCCAGCUUCCCGGUGGGUGCUCCAGGCUGCAGAGAUGAGCAGGAGGAAGAACUCUGCCUGAGGGCCAGCCUCUUGCCUAGGACGUUCUGGCCAGCACCUAAAGGAGGACCCAGCCACAUCUUGUCCUCAGUGGUCUUGCUCAAAAAGACUGUUCCCGAGGUAAACCACUCAGUGCGUUAUUUCUACCAAUAAAAUACCAUACACACAUG
Molecule: long non-coding RNA, 748 nt
Organism: Trichosurus vulpecula (common brushtail)
Lineage: Eukaryota; Metazoa; Chordata; Mammalia; Diprotodontia; Phalangeridae
Exons: 2
Source: RefSeq, a predicted model, not a curated record